This 389-nucleotide ribosomal RNA is filed under the name uncultured bacterium. Its description in RNAcentral is "bacterial SSU rRNA". It matches the Rfam family "Bacterial small subunit ribosomal RNA", at positions 30 to 418 of the family's 1533-position model. The record is from RNAcentral.
AUUGAACGCUGGCGGCAUGCCUUACACAUGCAAGUCGAACGGCAGCACGGGCUUCGGUCUGGUGGCGAGUGGCGAACGGGUGAGUAAAGUAUCGGAACGUGCCCUAGAGUGGGGGGAUAACGUAGCGAAAGUUACGCUAAUACCGCAUAUUCUAUGCGUAGGAAAGCGGGGGAUCUUCGGACCUCGCGCUCUAGGAGCGGCCGAUAUCAGAUUAGCUAGUUGGUGGGGUAAAGGCCUACCAAGGCGACGAUCUGUAGCGGGUCUGAGAGGAUGGUCCGCCACACUGGGACUGAGACACGGCCCAGACUCCUACGGGAGGCAGCAGUGGGGAAUUUUGGACAAUGGGCGCAAGCCUGAUCCAGCCAUGCCGCGUGAGUGAAGAAGGCCUU